GUGGGGAAUUUUGGACAAUGGGCGCAAGCCUGAUCCAGCAAUGCCGCGUGCAGGAAGAAGGCCUUCGGGUUGUAAACUGCUUUUGUACGGAACGAAACGGUCCGGGUUAAUACCCUGGGCUAAUGACGGUACCGUAAGAAUAAGCACCGGCUAACUACGUGCCAGCAGCCGCGGUAAUACGUAGGGUGCAAGCGUUAAUCGGAAUUACUGGGCGUAAAGCGUGCGCAGGCGGGUUUGUAAGACAGAUGUGAAAUCCCCGGGCUCAACCUGGGAACUGCAUUUGUGACUGCAUGGCUAGAGUACGGUAGAGGGGGAUGGAAUUCCGCGUGUAGCAGUGAAAUGCGUAGAUAUGCGGAGGAACACCGAUGGCGAAGGCAAUCCCCUGGACCUGUACUGACGCUCAUGCACGAAAGCGUGGGGAGCAAACAGGAUUAGAAACCCGGGUAGUCC
RNAcentral lists this ribosomal RNA (450 nucleotides) under uncultured bacterium. RNAcentral describes it as "partial 16S ribosomal RNA". It matches the Rfam family "Bacterial small subunit ribosomal RNA", at positions 354 to 796 of the family's 1533-position model. The record is from RNAcentral.